This 659-nucleotide long non-coding RNA is filed under the name Sorghum bicolor (sorghum). Its description in RNAcentral is "long non-coding RNA (SBIC_LNC018683)". The record is from RNAcentral. Lineage: Eukaryota; Viridiplantae; Streptophyta; Magnoliopsida; Poales; Poaceae.
CUAAAUAUUAAUCUCUAGAAAAAAUAAAAAGACCAAAAAGAUGUAUGAUGGAAAUGAUGAAUAGUUGCUCUGUUUGCUUACUUUCAAGUACCUAGCUUUUAUAUUAGAGUUCUUCCAGGAAUUACUAAAACUUAAUUUACUAUGUAUGGAAAGCAUAAAACUAAAGUCUAGGUAAGAGAAAGGCAUAAUAUAGAGUUUGAGCUGUUGUUUAUCUUGUUCCUACUACACUAAGUUCUGGAGAUUUAUUUUGAAAACUUACAAAUCACAUGAUGAGUUCCUAGCAUUACAAACUACCUACCACAGCCAUACUUGCUAUAACAUCUUUUACUAUUUACAUUGAGUUUGAUCGAGCUGUGUAGACCCUUAGGAGCUUUUCAUGUGGUUAAAUUAAGACAUUCACUUGCACACAUCUACCUCACCAUCCACCACCAUUUAUUAAAAUUGCUAAAAAUAAUAUUAUCACUCACUGUCCCAAGUAUUGUUAUUCUCUCUCUCUAAAAAGAUUCAAUGCAGAAGAGGCAUGGGUUAUGCAAAAAUAUACGAGGAAAUAAAAAAGGGCAAGUGCCCGGAACCUCGGAAAAGAAAGAAAAAGAGUGAGACGAGAGGUAAAAAUGGACAAGUGUCCGAAGUAGAAUUAGAGGUACAAAGAUACCCACUUG